UUCCUCCUACGGGGGGCAGCAGUAGGGAAUCUUCCACAAUGGACGAAAGUCUGAUGGAGCAACGCCGCGUGAGUGAAGAAGGGUUUCGGCUCGUAAAGCUCUGUUGGUAGUGAAGAAAGAUAGAGGUAGUAACUGGCCUUUAUUUGACGGUAAUUACUUAGAAAGUCACGGCUAGCUACGUGCCAGCAGCCGCGGUAAUACGUGGGUGGCAAGCGGUGUCCGGAUUUAUUGGGCGUAAAG
RNAcentral lists this ribosomal RNA (240 nucleotides) under uncultured bacterium. RNAcentral describes it as "partial 16S ribosomal RNA". It matches the Rfam family "Bacterial small subunit ribosomal RNA", at positions 333 to 565 of the family's 1533-position model. The record is from RNAcentral.